This 69-nucleotide transfer RNA is filed under the name Megalophasma granulatum. Its description in RNAcentral is "tRNA-Val". It matches the Rfam family "tRNA". Rfam says of the family: Transfer RNA (tRNA) molecules are approximately 80 nucleotides in length. Their secondary structure includes four short double-helical elements and three loops (D, anti-codon, and T loops). Lineage: Eukaryota; Metazoa; Arthropoda; Insecta; Phasmatodea; Lonchodidae. The record is from RNAcentral.
CAUAAAUUAGUUUAUAGAAAAUAUUUCAUUUACAUUGAGUUGAUUAGAGUGCGAAUCUCUUGUUUUUGA